UACGUAGGGGGCAAGCGUUGUCCGGAUUUAUUGGGCGUAAAGAGCGUGUAGGCGGCCAGGUAGGUCCGUUGUGAAAACUCGAGGCUCAACCUCGAGACGUCGGCGGAAACCCUCUGGCUAGAGUCCGGAAGAGGAGAGUGGAAUUCCUGGUGUAGCGGUGAAAUGCGCAGAUAUCAGGAAGAACACCCGUGGCGAAGGCGACUACCUGGCCUGUUCUUGACGCUGAGGCGCGAAAGCUAGGGGAGCAAACGGG
RNAcentral lists this ribosomal RNA (253 nucleotides) under uncultured bacterium. RNAcentral's name for it is "partial 16S ribosomal RNA". It matches the Rfam family "Bacterial small subunit ribosomal RNA", at positions 524 to 776 of the family's 1533-position model. The record is from RNAcentral.